CCUAACUACUAACUUAACCCAACGAUGUUUAUAAUAAGACAUGACCUAACACCAAAAAUUAAACCAUUUUAUUACCUGAGUACGGGAGACGGAAAAGGUCCAACCUAGAGCAAUAGAAAGAGUACCGCAAGGGAAAGCUGAAAGAGAAGUGAAACAACCCAUAUAAGCACUAAAAAACAAAGACAAAACCUU
Molecule: ribosomal RNA, 192 nt
Filed under: Ladislavia taczanowskii (Tachanovsky's gudgeon)
Lineage: Eukaryota; Metazoa; Chordata; Actinopteri; Cypriniformes; Gobionidae
Description: partial large subunit ribosomal RNA
Source: RNAcentral